Molecule: ribosomal RNA, 488 nt
Filed under: uncultured bacterium
Lineage: Bacteria
Description: partial 16S ribosomal RNA
Rfam family: Bacterial small subunit ribosomal RNA
Source: RNAcentral
GACGAACGCUGGCGGCGUGCUUAACACAUGCAAGUCGAACGGAAAGGCCAUGCUUUUGUGGGGUGCUCGAGUGGCGAACGGGUGAGUAACACGUGAGUAACCUGCCCUUGAAUUUGGGAUAACUUCAGGAAACUGGGGCUAAUACCGGAUAGGAGCUCCUGCUGCAUGGUGGGGGUUGGAAAGUUUCGGCUGUUGGGGAUGGACUCGGGGCGUAUCAGCUAGUUGGUGGGGUAGUGGCUUACCCAGGCUUUGAUGGGUAGCCGACCUGAGAGGGUGGUCGGCCACACUGGAACGGAGACACGGUCCAGACUGCUACGGGAGGCAGCAGGAGGGAAUCUUGCGCGAUGGGCGGAAGCCUGACGGAGCAACGCCGCGUGAGUGAUGAAGGACCUCGGAUCGUAAAACGCUGUUAUUCGGGAAGAAAAACUGUGUAAGUAACUAUGCACGUCUUGACGGUACCUAGUCAGAAAGCCACGGCUAACUACGUG